CCGGCGACGUCGCGAGAAGUCCACUGAACCUUAUCAUAUUAAGAGGAAGGAGAAGUCGUAACAAGGUUUCCGUAGGUGAACCUGCGGAAGGAUCAUUG
This 98-nucleotide ribosomal RNA is filed under the name Acacia torulosa. RNAcentral's name for it is "partial small subunit ribosomal RNA". It matches the Rfam family "Eukaryotic small subunit ribosomal RNA", at positions 1736 to 1831 of the family's 1831-position model. Lineage: Eukaryota; Viridiplantae; Streptophyta; Magnoliopsida; Fabales; Fabaceae. The record is from RNAcentral.